This 503-nucleotide ribosomal RNA is filed under the name uncultured bacterium. RNAcentral's name for it is "partial 16S ribosomal RNA". It matches the Rfam family "Bacterial small subunit ribosomal RNA", at positions 30 to 523 of the family's 1533-position model. The record is from RNAcentral.
AUUGAACGCUGGCGGCAGGCUUAACACAUGCAAGUCGAGCGGGGUGAUGGUGCUUGCACUAUCACUUAGCGGCGGACGGGUGAGUAAUGCUUAGGAAUCUGCCUAUUAGUGGGGGACAACAUCUCGAAAGGGAUGCUAAUACCGCAUACGUCCUACGGGAGAAAGCAGGGGAUAACUUGUAACCUUGCGCUACUAGAUGAGCCUAAGUCGGAUUAGCUAGUUGGUGGGGUAAAGGCCUACCAAGGCGACGAUCUGUAGCGGGUCUGAGAGGAUGAUCCGCCACACUGGGACUGAGACACGGCCCAGACUCCUACGGGAGGCAGCAGUGGGGAAUAUUGGACAAUGGGGGGAACCCUGAUCCAGCCAUGCCGCGUGUGUGAAGAAGGCCUUAUGGUUGUAAAGCACUUUAAGCGAGGAGGAGGCUCCUUUGGUUAAUACCCAAGAUGAGUGGACGUUACUCGCAGAAUAAGCACCGGCUAACUCUGUGCCAGCCGCCGCGGUAA